AUGGGCCGCUGGAGAUACUACAAGCUAGGGGAGUGGGAGAGGCAGACGGUAUUCAGUGGGUAGGGGUAAAAUCCUCUGAUCCAUGAGGGGCCACCAGUGGCGAAGGCGGUCUGCCAGAACACGUUCGACGGUGAGGGAUGAAAGCUGGGGGAGCAAACCGGAUUAGAUACCCGGGUAGUCCCAGCUGUAAACGAUGCAAACUCGGUGAUGCAUUGGCUUAUGGCCAAUGCAGUGCCGCAGGGAAGCCGUUAAGUUUGCCGCCUGGGAAGUACGGACGCAAGUCUGAAACUUAAAGGAAUUGGCGGGGGAGCACCACAAGGGGUGAAGCCUGCGGUUCAAUUGGAGUCAACGCCGGG
RNAcentral lists this ribosomal RNA (356 nucleotides) under uncultured archaeon. RNAcentral describes it as "bacterial SSU rRNA". It matches the Rfam family "Archaeal small subunit ribosomal RNA", at positions 566 to 922 of the family's 1478-position model. The record is from RNAcentral.